AGCGAACGCUGGCGGCAGGCUUAACACAUGCAAGUCGAGCGGGCGUAGCAAUACGUCAGCGGCAGACGGGUGAGUAACGCGUGGGAACAUACCUUUUGGUUCGGAACAACACAGGGAAACUUGUGCUAAUACCGGAUAAGCCCUUACGGGGAAAGAUUUAUCGCCGAAAGAUUGGCCCGCGUCUGAUUAGCUAGUUGGUGAGGUAACGGCUCACCAAGGCGACGAUCAGUAGCUGGCUGAGAGGAUGAUCAGCCACAUUGGGACUGAGACACGGCCCAAACUCCUACGGGAGGCAGCAGUGGGGAAUAUUGGACAAUGGGCGCAAGCCUGAUCCAGCCAUGCCGCGUGAGUGAUGAAGGCCCUAGGGUUGUAAAGCUCUUUUGUGCGGGAAGAUAAUGACGGUACCGCAAGAAUAAGCCCCGGCUAACUUCGUGCCAGCAGCCGCCGCUGUAA
Molecule: ribosomal RNA, 453 nt
Filed under: uncultured bacterium
Lineage: Bacteria
Description: bacterial SSU rRNA
Rfam family: Bacterial small subunit ribosomal RNA
Source: RNAcentral